GAUGAACGCUGGCGGCGUGCCUAAUACAUGCAAGUCGAGCGAACAGACGAGGAGCUUGCUCCUCUGACGUUAGCGGCGGACGGGUGAGUAACACGUGGAUAACCUACCUAUAAGACUGGGAUAACUUCGGGAAACCGGAGCUAAUACCGGAUAAUAUAUUGAACCGCAUGGUUCAAUAGUGAAAGACGGCUUUGCUGUCACUUAUAGAUGGAUCCGCGCCGCAUUAGCUAGUUGGUAAGGUAACGGCUUACCAAGGCAACGAUGCGUAGCCGACCUGAGAGGGUGAUCGGCCACACUGGAACUGAGACACGGUCCAGACUCCUACGGGAGGCAGCAGUAGGGAAUCUUCCGCAAUGGGCGAAAGCCUGACGGAGCAACGCCGCGUGAGUGAUGAAGGUCUUCGGAUCGUAAAACUCUGUUAUUAGGGAAGAACAAAUGUGUAAGUAACUAUGCGCGUCUUGACGGUACCUAAUCAGAAAGCCACGGCUAACUACGUG
RNAcentral lists this ribosomal RNA (497 nucleotides) under uncultured bacterium. RNAcentral describes it as "partial 16S ribosomal RNA". It matches the Rfam family "Bacterial small subunit ribosomal RNA", at positions 28 to 507 of the family's 1533-position model. The record is from RNAcentral.